Molecule: ribosomal RNA, 421 nt
Filed under: uncultured bacterium
Lineage: Bacteria
Description: bacterial SSU rRNA
Rfam family: Bacterial small subunit ribosomal RNA
Source: RNAcentral
UCGGGAAUAUUGCGCAAUGGAGGAAACUCUGACGCAGUGACGCCGCGUAUGGGAAGAAGGUUUUCGGAUUGUAAACCAUUUUAGACAAGGAAGAAAAAAGACAGUACUUGUAGAAUAAGCUCCGGCUAACUACGUGCCAGCAGCCGCGGUAAUACGUAGGGAGCAAGCGUUAUCCGGAUUUAUUGGGUGUAAAGGGUGCGUAGACGGGAAGGUAAGUUAGUUGUGAAAUCCCUCGGCUCAACUGAGGAACUGCGACUAAAACCUGCUUUUACUUGAUGUACUGGAGAGGAAAGGUAGGAAUUCCUAGUGUAGCGGUGAAAUGCGUAGAUAUUAGGAGGAACACCAGUGGCGAAGGCGACUUUCUGGACAGUAACUGACGUUGAGGCACGAAAGUGUGGGGAGCAAACAGGAUUAGAUACCC